GACGAACGCUGGCGGCGUGCUUAACACAUGCAAGUCGAGCGGUAAGGCCCUUUCGGGGUACGACGAGCGGCGAACGGGUGAGUAACGCGUGGGAACCUGCCCAGUGGUAGGGGGAGUAACCGCGGGAAACGUGCGGCUAAUACCCUAUGCGCCCUAUGGGGCGAAAGAUUUAUCGCCAUUGGAGGGGCCCGCGUCGGAUUAGGUAGUUGGUGAGGUAACGGCUCACCAAGCCUUCGAUCCGUAGCUGGUCUGAGAGGAUGAUCAGCCACACU
This 272-nucleotide ribosomal RNA is filed under the name uncultured bacterium. Its description in RNAcentral is "partial 16S ribosomal RNA". It matches the Rfam family "Bacterial small subunit ribosomal RNA", at positions 28 to 314 of the family's 1533-position model. The record is from RNAcentral.